RNAcentral lists this long non-coding RNA (5307 nucleotides) under Sus scrofa (pig). RNAcentral describes it as "lncRNA (ENSSSCG00015070546.1)". The record is from RNAcentral. Lineage: Eukaryota; Metazoa; Chordata; Mammalia; Artiodactyla; Suidae.
UUUUUUUGUUUUUUAAGGUUCUGUUUUGUUCUUUGGAUUGGAACAUAGUUCUCUGUCAUUGCAUUUUGCCUAAUUUUCUGCGUCGUUUUUAUGUAUUAGGCAUUAUCAGCUCUCUCUCCCAGUCUUGAAGGAGUAGCCCCACUUGGGAGAUGUCCGGUGGGACUCAGAAAUGCAAUCUCAUCUGGCCACAGAGCCGGGAGCUCCACGGAUGUUCCCUACGUGGGCUCUGGGUGCUCUCAUGCUAUAGUGGGGCUGCAGCUGCCACAGGGCACUGGUGGACAGGGCUGGCCCCUGGACCGGUGGCUGUGUGCUGGUGGGUGGGGCCAUCACGGGGAUGGUUGUGAGGUUUUGCUGAGGUGCAUGGCACACCCACUGACAGGUUAGAGGGAGAAUUUCAAGAUGGUACCAAUCACUGCCAGUAUGGUUCCCACUGGUGUUUCAGUCCUAGCUGGUUCCUGCCUCUCUGUCAGAGGCUUUAAGGUUAGCAAGGGGGUGUCUUUCAUCUAUGCUCCAUGUACUUUUCAAUCUGGUGUUUUUGCACUGAUUUUCAGAUGGAGUGUGUGUUGCACACCAACUCUUUCAAAGAGGGUUUUUCUUUUUUCUUUUGGUCCUUUUGUCUUUAGGGCCACACCUGCAGCAUGUGGAGGUUCCCAGGCUAGGGAUCCAAUCAGAACUGUAGCCAUCGGCCUAUGCAAGAGCCACAGCUCAGUGGGAUUCCAGCUGCAUCUGCAACCUACACCACAGCUCACAGGCAACGCAGGAUCCUCAACCCACUGAGCAAGGCCGGGAAUCAAACCCACAUCUUCAUGGAUGCCAGUCGGGUUUGCUAACUGCUGAGCCACAGUGGAAACUCCCUAAGAGGGCUUUUCUGAUCUCUGAAGUUUUAUGGUAUUCUUGGACAUAUUUAUUCCCUAUUGGUUUUCAAAGCCAUGUGUUUUAGGGGGGCUUGUCUUUCCUUUGCUGGUCUAGGGGUUGGAGGCCUGAUGGGGAGCUCGAAUCCCUCAUGCCUCACUCCUCGGGGAAGGGACACCUUACCUUCGUGAUAAAGGGAACACAUACCAAACCUUGUGAACCCUCUUGAUUGUGGAUCUCUGGGCUGUGUUUUUUCCUCGGUGAGACCAUUUCUACCUCUCGCAGCCAUCGGGAUGCUGUCCUUUACCCUUUGUUGUGGAGACUCGGCUCAAAGUCUUCUGGGCCCUUUCCAAGGGAAUCAUUCCAUAUUGCGUUCCUGGGAACAUAUUAUUCCAUGCUGUGUUCCUGGGAGGAGGUGAGUUCAGGAUCUUGAACCCUCUCCCUCUGAGUCUGAAUGCUUUUGGUUCCUGGUAAAAGUGGGAUCAGGUAAUAUUUGUCCUUCUGUGUCUUUUGGAAGGAAGUGGUAGGGUACCUGCCACAGACUCCUCAUUUACCUCCUGUGACGUUCGAUCACCACGUGGAUCCUGAGACUAAAGAAAGUAUAUUUUGUUGCAUGCUGGAUGUUUUCAUUUACUGGAAAAUUUUAGCAAGGCACACUUGUUAACAAUCUAACUUACUGUGUCAAAACAUGAGUAGGUCCUCUAAUGCCCCAGGGAGAAUUGAACCCAUCUGGGUUCACUUAGCUACCUAUUGUAGCACUUAGUAAAUUUUGGAGUUGCUAUUUUUCACAAGCCUAAUUUAAUGUCUGUCUCUGAUUUCUUAAGGGUAAACCAUAAUUUAUCCCGAAGUGCAUGUUUACAUAUAGUCAAUAAGUAAGCAUGAAAUGAGAUGAAUUCAUACUUGCCUAAUGUUUAACUGGUAGAUGUUAAUAUCAGCCUUAUUAUUAAAAACUAUUUCUAUUUUCUUGAGGAUGGUUACGUGAAAUAAAUAAUUCUGUGACAAAUUAGAUCAGACAGUCUUCCUCGGUAAACUGCAUUCGUUCUGAAUUUUUUAGAUGUUUCAGCAAACCUGGCUUAUUAGGCCCUGGAAUAACAUUAACUACAAAAAUGUAGGCUGCUUCUAUGUAUGAGAAAUGCCAAAUGUGAAGCUGGAAAACAUAAAGUCAAAAGGUGUAUCUAGAUAAUUUAUGGGUCCCCUCAAAAUUUUUCAAAGGCUAACUUUGCAACAACUUAGCCAUCAAUAUUUUGUAAAAUUUUCAGCCUGUAUUGAAAUUGUAUCGUCUGUAAUUUCUCAGAGGGAGAGAGAUGAAGGUGUAAAUGAUCAAAAUGCAGAUCAUAUGAAGCCACAACAAUCUUAAACAUGUUUUGAGCUUUUAGCGUAAAGCAAUAGUUAAUAUGAAAAUAUACUCCUUUUUUUAAAACAGAGUAUAACACUGGGUAAGCUAUGAAUAUUUGAAGCUGUGAAUAUUAAAGUGUCUAAUAAAAUAUACACUAAAGGUCAAUUUUUUGCAAAACUAGAUAUCCUCAAUUAUGCAAAACUCAUGAUUCACCUUUGGUGCUACAUUAUAACCAUUUCCAGGACCUUAGGCCCUUUACUAGAAAAUGGAUGGGCUGAGAGAAAAAACUCAUUUGAAUUAAGUGUUUAUGUUUCUGGGCUGUUUGAAAGAGUAGCAUCUUUUUCAACCUCUGCCUUCUUUAGCGCUUAGCAGGCAUCCCAGACAAAUUCCAAUUUCUUGAAAUAUUUCCUAUCGGGAAAGAAAGCCUAUUAGCAGUUAAUAAUGUCAGUUGCUAAGGAUAAUCUUCUUCAGGCUGCUUUCAUCAGGGUAUAAUCCCCCAAUCUGCAGAAAACAGCUCUUGAGUGCCACGGCCAAGGCUUUCCUGUAACUCUCUUAUUCACUUGAACUUGUUUUGCUCCCUUCUGGGGUUAUUUAUUUAUUUAUUUUUUCUUCACUGCAAAUCAGUCGAUUUUAGACUCAUUUUAAGGCAUGGUUUUCAGAUUAAUGCUAUGUCUUUGCUUUCUCAUGCAUCAGUCAUCUCAUCAGAAACAUCUUUCCUUUGCCAUAGUAAUCUGUGUCUAAGAACUCCUUCCAGGCGGAGGAGAUAAGAGACUGCUCAGCUUAAUUCCAUGCCAUGCUGGUCACUCCAUCCCUGGUCAGUUCUCCACUCACUGGGGUUCUCUACCUCUUCUUGAUACACUUUAUGGCUGUUUUACUUUCACUUCAGUUAUAAGCUUACAUUUGCCUAAGCUGUCAUUUAGUGAUUCCAAAACUUGAUUAUUGUUAGAAUCACCUAAAGGUGCUUUAAAAAUAAAGUUUCCAUGGCUCCCUACCUUAGAUUUACUGAAACUAAAUCUCUAGCCUUUAUGCUGCAUAAUAUAUAUUUUCAAAUCACUUCAUGGGGUAUGACUGAUACUCAGAACGCCAUAUAUAUUUAAUGAAUAGGUGAUAAGAAUACAUCUGUGGAAAAAAAUUGAAUUUGUGUAUUCUCCUAACGGAGAGGUUGUGCUAAUCUUUCUGCAUUGUUAAUAUUAUUAUUUUUUUUUCCCCUUGGCCAUGCCCCUGGCAGGCAGAAGUUACCAGGCCAGGAAUGGAAUCUGUGCCACAGCAGUGACAAUGCCAGAUUCUUAGCCAUUAGGCCACCAGGGAAAUCCUUCUCUGUAUUGUUCUAAUUUUAGUAUAUGUAUUGCUGACAUGAGCACUGCGAUCUAUAUUUUUAUUUUCUAUUUAAAGCAACUCUCUGGUGGAUUUUUAAUGCAACCAAUUUGCUAAGCACAUAGCAUGUUCCAUCAGCUUAGAUAUCCUAUAAACGCUAUUACUUGAGUGUAAAGAAGUUUACACUCACCUUUCUGCUGGGACUUGCAGAUGGCUGCAAAAACACCAUGUUUUCCUAAGACCUGAUGGCUCUCAAACUUCUUCCAGGUUGAGAACUGUUCCUUUAGCAGAGAAUGUAACAAAAGCCAGCGGGUCAGGUCUGGCCUGAGGAGGCAAGUGGGGGGCAAAUAAAUACAAGAUCGAUGUUUUGUCAAAAAAUCCUUACCACCAACUAUGCGUUGGCAUCACUUAAAGUUUUAAUUCAUAACUCAUCAUAUCGAUUUUUUGAAUGACCAACCUUGUUUAUUUCUCCUGUUUCAUCAUUCUUAUCUCAUCUUAUUCAAAUGAAUUCUUCUCUUCCUUUCUUAAAUCUUUCCUUCUCUGUAUGGGAAUCUUUCCUUUUAUUUCUCUUAUUCCCAUCCACAAAUUUCUGUCCUAAAAUCCAAUGAUUUGGCUCAUCCCCUUGUCACCAUUUAUGACUGUACUUACGUCAUCCCAUUCUAUUAUUUUAAAAAUUAAAAGAACUUAUACAUGCACAGUAAAAUAAAUCUGAAAAGUCUUUUUUUUUUUCCCUUAGAAAGUCAUGUGUAUGGGUACCUUUCAUGUUCCUGCAAUAUUCUUUCCUACAAAGCAGAUCCAAGUAUUUACCUUAAAGUUGAACACAUUUUGUGUUACUUUAUCGCUAGGGAUUUGAGUCCAUGGGAAACUCUUGGAAGACAUCUCAGGAUUGCUGUGGUAACAUCGUGUAUCAUAAAGGAAUCUUCUGCUGAGUUUUUCACUAACAUUGCCCUUUUACUGAAAACAGCAGGAAAGCCAUUUUACACUACCAAUGGACUCUUUUUUUUUCCCCUAAAAUGCACAUUAAUUAUAUCAUGUCCUCUUUAUAAACUCUUUUAUGGUCAUAAUUAUCUGCUGGAUAAAUCCCAAACUCUUUAGCAAGUUUCUUCUUAAGCAAGUCCAUAAGGUUUCCAGCUGUGGCACCCAUCACCUCCCCUUAGACACUUUUUGGGGGUAUUUUUGAUGAAAACAUUAUCAGUUUCUUACAUGAGCCACACACAUAUAUACAUGUGCUGUAUACAUAAACUAAACGUAUAUACAUGAGCUGGAUACUCUCUGCCUGGAAUAUCUUUCUCCAUAAUGACCUUUCUGCCGGGUAUCUAGCUCUUGCUUCAUGAAUCCUGUUAAACUUUCAUGAAUGCCCAGAUGAAAUCGCUUUGAACUGCUUUGAACUUCCAGAACUCAGGGACAGAGCUCUGUUACAGAAUAUCUUGUUACACCAUAAUUAUGGAUGUUCAUGUUACUAUUGCACUUAGCUGUGAGAAUCUUAAAGGCACUGCUGGUAUAUUUUAUUCAUGGUUAACUUUCCAAAGGCUGCAAUAUUAUGGGUCCUUAAUGAAUGCUAACGGUAUUUUAAGUCUUUAAUAAAUGCAAGCAUCUUUUGACCCCCUUGUGGCUUUUAGUCAAUUUAUGUUGUGUUUGAAGUAAGCUCGCUCGCUCUCUCUCUUUUUUCAGUUUUAUUGAGAUAUAAUUGAUGGCACUGUAUAUGUUUAAGAUGUGCAGCAUACUGUUUUGACUUGCAUAUAUUGUGAAGUGAUUACCACAAUAAAUUUAGUUAACACCUAUCAUCUAAUAGAGUUACAGAAAAA